This 332-nucleotide ribosomal RNA is filed under the name uncultured eukaryote. Its description in RNAcentral is "partial 18S ribosomal RNA". It matches the Rfam family "Eukaryotic small subunit ribosomal RNA", at positions 1470 to 1796 of the family's 1831-position model. The record is from RNAcentral.
CCCUUAGAUGUUCUGGGCCGCACGCGCGCUACACUGUUCGACGCAGCGAGUCUUAACCUUGACCGAAAGGUUUGGGUAAUCUUCAGCAAAGUCGAACGUGAUGGGGAUCGAUCAUUGCAAUUAUUGAUCGUGAACGAGGAAUUCCUAGUAAGUGCAAGUCAUCAGCUUGCGCUGAUUACGUCCCUGCCCUUUGUACACACCGCCCGUCGCUACUACCGAUUGAAUGGUUUAGUGAGAUCUCUGGAUUGACGCUGGCUAGGGGGCGACCCUUGGCCAGACUGCUCGAGAAACUGCUCAAACUUGAUCAUUUAGAGGAAGCAAAAGUCGUAACA